UGGGGAAUAUUGGACAAUGGGGGCAACCCUGAUCCAGCAAUGCCGCGUGUGUGAAGAAGGUCUUCGGAUUGUAAAGCACUUUCGACGGGGACGAUGAUGACGGUACCCGUAGAAGAAGCCCCGGCUAACUUCGUGCCAGCAGCCGCGGUAAUACGAAGGGGGCUAGCGUUGCUCGGAAUGACUGGGCGUAAAGGGCGUGUAGGCGGUUUACACAGUCAGAUGUGAAAUCCCCGGGCUUAACCUGGGAGCUGCAUUUGAUACGUGUAGACUAGAGUGUGAGAGAGGGUUUGUGGAAUUCCCAGUGUAGAGGUGAAAUUCGUAGAUAUUGGGAAGAACACCGGUGGCGAAGGCGGCAACCUGGCUCAUGACUGACGCUGAGGCGCGAAAGCGUGGGGAGCAAACAGGAUUAGAUACCCUGGUAGUCCACGCUGUAAACGAUGUGUGCUAGAUGUUGGGU
RNAcentral lists this ribosomal RNA (457 nucleotides) under uncultured bacterium. RNAcentral describes it as "partial 16S ribosomal RNA". It matches the Rfam family "Bacterial small subunit ribosomal RNA", at positions 355 to 828 of the family's 1533-position model. The record is from RNAcentral.